This 241-nucleotide long non-coding RNA is filed under the name Gossypium raimondii (Peruvian cotton). Its description in RNAcentral is "long non-coding RNA (GRAI_LNC005841)". The record is from RNAcentral. Lineage: Eukaryota; Viridiplantae; Streptophyta; Magnoliopsida; Malvales; Malvaceae.
AGAAAUAUGUAUAUAUAUUAUAUAUUAAUGCAUAUAUAAGUUUGGAGAUAAUUAUAAAAAUGAUAGUAAAUAAUAUGAUAAUAAUAAAUAAUGGUACAAUGAUAAUAGCAUAAAAAAAUAAAAAUAACUAAAAAAUGGACUCAAUUGAACUAAACGGAAAAAAAAGUGGGGCAGAUUUGAAAUAAAUUAAAGAAACAACUUGAAUGCGCAAGCAAUAAUGGAGGACCAAAAGAGAAAUUAU